CCUUCUUCCGUACUCCAGAAGAGGAGCGACAAAGAACUGCUUGGAAGGAAGCCCAGCCCGAGGAGUCGGAAAAAAGAAGCAAAAAACGCACUCCUCCCCCCAGGACCAACUCAUCUCCUCCGAGGAAAUCUAGGAGACAUUCCUCCAGGCGACAAACUCCUCCUCGCAGGACAUAUUAUGCUGGAGAGUCCUCCCGGGGCCGAUACAACUAUGCUUCUACCCGGGAAACACAACUGCCGGGGUACCAAGGUUCGCACCCCCGGAAUUACGGGACCAAGUUCCCUCUGGUCGCUGACACGGAUGCCGCCCGAACCACACUGCGGACCAUAUCUGGGUAUC
Molecule: long non-coding RNA, 339 nt
Filed under: Zostera marina
Lineage: Eukaryota; Viridiplantae; Streptophyta; Magnoliopsida; Alismatales; Zosteraceae
Description: long non-coding RNA (ZMAR_LNC004926)
Source: RNAcentral